This 440-nucleotide ribosomal RNA is filed under the name uncultured bacterium. Its description in RNAcentral is "partial 16S ribosomal RNA". It matches the Rfam family "Bacterial small subunit ribosomal RNA", at positions 338 to 795 of the family's 1533-position model. The record is from RNAcentral.
CCUACGGGAGGCAGCAGUGGGGGAUCUUGCACAAUGGGGGAAACCCUGAUGCAGCGACGCCGCGUGAGUGAAGAAGUAUUUCGGUAUGUAAAGCUCUAUCAGCAGGGAAGAAAAUGACAGUACCUGACCAAGAAGCCCCGGCUAACUACGUGCCAGCAGCCGCGGUAAUACGUAGGGGGCAAGCGUUAUCCGGAUUUACUGGGUGUAAAGGGAGCGUAGACGGUUAUGUAAGUCUGGAGUGAAAGCCCGGGGCCCAACCCCGGGACUGCUUUGGAAACUGUGUAACUGGAGUACAGGAGGGGAGGGCGGAAUUCCUGGUGUAGCGGUGGAAUGCGUAGAUAUCAGGAGGAACACCAGCGGCGAAGGCGGCCUGCUGGACUGAAACUGACGUUGAGGCUCGAAAGCGUGGGGAGCGAACAGGAUUAGAUACCCGUGUAGUC